CUAUGGCUGGAAAGUCAUGGCGGAAGGAG
This 29-nucleotide non-coding RNA is filed under the name unclassified sequences. RNAcentral describes it as "L31-Firmicutes ribosomal protein leader". It matches the Rfam family "L31-Firmicutes ribosomal protein leader". The record is from RNAcentral.